UAGUAACGGCGAGUGAAGAGGGAAAAGCUCAAAUUUUGAAUCUGGUGUCUUUGACUCCCAAGUUGUAAUCUAGAGAAGUGUUUUCCGUGUCGGACCGCGUAUAAGUUCCCUGGAACGGGGCGUCAUAGAGGGUGAGAAUCUCGUAUAUGCCGUGGACUACCGAUGCUCUGUGAUACACUCUCAACGAGUCGAGUUGUUUGGGAAUGCAGCUCAAAAUGGGUGGUAAAUUCCAUCUAAAGCUAAAUAUUGGCGAGAGACCGAUAGCGAACAAGUACCGUGAGGGAAAGAUGAAAAGCACUUUGGAAAGAGAGUGAAACAGUACGUGAAAUUGUUGAAAGGGAAGCGUUUGAAGUCAGUCACGUUUGUUGGGAUUCAGCCUGGCUUCUGCCUGGUGUAUUUCCUAGCCGACGGGUCAGCAUCAGUUUCGACCAAGGGAAAAAGACAUUUGGAAUGUGGCUGUCUUCGGGCAGUGUUAUAGCCUUGUGUUGUAUGCCUUGGUUGGGACUGAGGAAUGCAGCGCGCCUUAUGGCCGGGGGUCGCUCCUCUCGACACGCGCUUAGGA
Molecule: ribosomal RNA, 562 nt
Filed under: uncultured Sebacinales
Lineage: Eukaryota; Fungi; Basidiomycota; Agaricomycetes; Sebacinales
Description: eukaryotic LSU rRNA
Rfam family: Eukaryotic large subunit ribosomal RNA
Source: RNAcentral